UUAAAAAUAAGCUAAAUAAGCUAAUGAGUUCAUACCUCAUUAAUAAAAGUUUUAAUCUUUUUUUUUAAA
RNAcentral lists this transfer RNA (69 nucleotides) under Lepidostoma longipilosum. RNAcentral's name for it is "tRNA-Met". It matches the Rfam family "tRNA". Rfam says of the family: Transfer RNA (tRNA) molecules are approximately 80 nucleotides in length. Lineage: Eukaryota; Metazoa; Arthropoda; Insecta; Trichoptera; Lepidostomatidae. The record is from RNAcentral.